UCAUUUUCUAUUUAAGAAUCGUAUACGUUGGCUAUAUUCUUUGCGUCAUCAAUCCCCAGAUGAUGACUUCCCAGCAUUGGUAUUUUCAGCUGCUCCAUCAUCGUCCUCAUUCCUCUCGCCUCUUUUAUUGGGUUAUAAAAAUUUUGAUAAACAUCUUUCAGGUUGAUCCACUCCAUAAAGUAUGAGGGAAGCUUAAUCUUUGACACUUGGCAUUGCCGAGGGAUCUGCGUUUUCACAUCCCAAUUUCCACAAGUUACAAAUGCUGCUUGAUUAAGAAAUCCACCAUGCUUUGGUUCCCACAAAUGGUGAUGAGUCAACCAAGCUUCAAAUUGUUGAAUAACUUCAUUAAAUGGGAGAGCUGUGUCAUGCCACACACGAUCAACUCCAAACUUGCCAUAUUUGUUUUCAAUAUAUUCAUUUAUUCUUUGUUCGGUCAUAGCUGAGGGCCUGACAAACCUUGGUGCAUUUGCCUUGUGUAUAAUACAAGCACAUGGGUCUCCAGCGGUAACUAGCAUCAGGAAUAGCAGAAGGCGUAGAAGAAUGAGGAACUGAAGGAGAGAAACUACACUGGGUAUAAGUUGCAGGGAAAUUAAGGAAUGGACGGAAUGUCUGGUAUGCCGGUUUUGGUGGAGUUUCGAAGAUUGGGAUGAUGCUUCCGCGGAAGGAGGAAACC
RNAcentral lists this unclassified non-coding RNA (673 nucleotides) under Hevea brasiliensis (rubber tree). Lineage: Eukaryota; Viridiplantae; Streptophyta; Magnoliopsida; Malpighiales; Euphorbiaceae. The record is from RNAcentral.